Molecule: non-coding RNA, 106 nt
Organism: Gossypium arboreum
Lineage: Eukaryota; Viridiplantae; Streptophyta; Magnoliopsida; Malvales; Malvaceae
Source: Rfam
AAUUUGUGAUGUGGACAUUUCUUACUCAGCAACUUAAAAUGCUCUCAAGCUUCAUGAAAACUCUCUCCCUCUAACUAUUUGAACAUAGUAAUCUCUUUUUUUAGCU